CCCGCCCGCUCCUGAGGCGGCUUCCGGCGGCCAUGGCGGCGGCGGCGGCGGCGGCGGGCCCGGGCCCGGCCGAGCCUCCCGCGGCCGCUCCGGAGCUCAAGAGCCGCUUCCGUACCCGCGAGGGCUCCUACCGCCUGCUGGGCCCCGCCGCCGCCGCCGCCUCCUCCGCCUCAGCCCCGGCAGGGCCUGCCCCGCCGGGCCCCGGCGCGCUGCCGCCGGUUCGGCUCUCGGUGGUGAGGCUGGCCCGGAGCCGGAGCCCGCCCGGGGGAGCCGCAGAGCGGAGCCGAGUGUGCUGUAACCUCGGCAGGGAGCUGCAUUUCUACGGAGGGACGGGCAGCGGGGGACGCGGCAGCCGGAGGGCGCUGGACCUGCAGCGUCCCAUCGACAAGCGCGUGUACAAGGGCACGCAGCCCACGUGCCACGACUUCAACCAGUUCACGGCGGGCACCGAGACCCUGGCGCUGCUCGUGGGCUUCUCGGCCGGGCAGGUGCAGUACCUGGACCUGGCCAAGAAGGACAGCGCCGGGCGGCUCUUCAACGAGGAGCGCCUGAUCGACAAGUCCAAGGUGACGCUGGUCAAGUGGCUGCCGGACACGGAGCGCCUGUUCCUGGCGUCGCACGCCAGCGGCCACCUGUACCUGUACGACUCGGAGCAGCCGUGCGGCGCCAGCAGCCCGCAGUACUCGCUGCUGACGCAAGGAGAAGGCUUCCGGGUCUUCUCGUGCAAGAGCAAGACGCCGCGGAACCCGCUGCUGAAAUGGGCCGUGGGCUCGGGGCCGCUCAACGAGUUCGCCUUCUCGCCGGACGGGCGCUCGCUGGCGUGCGUGAGCCAGGACGGCGUGCUCAGGGUGUUCCACUUCUCGUCCAUGCUGCUGCAGGGCAUGAUGCGCAGCUACUUCGGCGGGCUGCUGUGCGUCUGCUGGAGCCCCGACGGCCGCUACGUGGUCACCGGCGGCGAGGAUGACCUGGUCACCGUGUGGUCGUUCGCCGAGGGCCGGGUGGUGGCCCGAGGGCACGGCCACAAGUCGUGGGUCAACGCGGUGGCGUUCGAUCCCUUCACGCCGCCCGACGGGCAGGGCGACAGGCACGGGGAGAGCCCCGAGGACCCGCCGAGCGUCACCUACCGCUUCGGUUCGGCCGGCCAGGACACGCAGUUCUGCCUGUGGGACCUCACCGAGGACGUGCUGGAGCCGCGGCCGCCGCUUCCCCGCUCCCGCCCCGCCGUUACCGGGGAGGAGCCGCCGCCGCCGGCGGCAGCACCGGGACCGCCCCCGCCUUCCGUGCCGGGGCUGCCGCGCUCCCUGUCCCGCUCCAACAGCCUCCCGCAGCCCGGCGGGGGUCCCCAAACGUCGCCCCGCGUCCCCCCGGUGCUGAGCGUGGGGCGUUUCGCCACGCUGACCCUGCGCGACCCCCGAGGGGCGGCCGAGAAGGAGCACAAACGUUACCACAGCCUGGGCAACAUCAGCCGGGGAGGAGGAGGAGGGGGCGGCAGUGCCGAGAAGCCCCCUCCCCAAAGCGGGCCGGGGUCGCGGGGAGGCUCCCUGGACUCGGCCAAGGUGCUGGGCACGGCGCUGUGCCCGCGGCUGCACGAGGUGCCGCUGCUGGAGCCGCUGGUGUGCAAGAAAAUCGCCCAGGAGAGGCUGACGGUGCUGCUCUUCCUGGAGGAUUGCAUCGUGACGGCGUGCCAGGAGGGGCUCAUCUGCACCUGGGCACGGCCGGGGGUCUCUGGCCUGUCCUCGCAGAACGGCGGCUCCCCGAGUGGCACCGUGGUGUAGCUGUGUCACCUGUGUCACCUCCUGGGUCACCUGUGCCACCCGCCAGGACAUGCCGGUGUCACCUGUGUCACCUCCCGGGUCACCUGUGCCACCUGCCAGGACACGCCGGUGUCACCUGUGUCACCUCCUGGGUCACCUGUGCCACCUGUGCCACCCUCCAGGACAUCCCGGUGUCACCUUGUCACCCGCCAGGACACACCGGUGUCACCUGUGUCAC
This is an RNA transcript of Zonotrichia leucophrys gambelii, 1992 nucleotides long. It is a transcript of the gene named DM1 locus, WD repeat containing, with no coding region annotated. The record is from RefSeq and is a predicted model, not a curated record. The transcript has 6 exons. Lineage: Eukaryota; Metazoa; Chordata; Aves; Passeriformes; Passerellidae.